RNAcentral lists this unclassified non-coding RNA (24 nucleotides) under Mus musculus (house mouse). RNAcentral's name for it is "oocyte_clustered_small_RNA6262". The record is from RNAcentral. Lineage: Eukaryota; Metazoa; Chordata; Mammalia; Rodentia; Muridae.
UGUCCAGGCUCUCGCUCUUAAUGA